This 464-nucleotide ribosomal RNA is filed under the name uncultured bacterium. RNAcentral's name for it is "bacterial SSU rRNA". It matches the Rfam family "Bacterial small subunit ribosomal RNA", at positions 338 to 795 of the family's 1533-position model. The record is from RNAcentral.
CCUANGGGCGGCAGCAGUUUCGAAUCAUUCACAAUGGGCGAAAGCCUGAUGGUGCGACGCCGCGUGAGGGAUGAAGGUCUUCGGAUCGUAAACCUCUGUCACCGGGGAAGAAACGCUAUGCGAUAACAUCGCCUAGCCUGACUUAACCCGGAGAGGAAGCAGUGGCUAACUCUGUGCCAGCAGCCGCGGUAAUACAGAGACUGCAAGCGUUAUUCGGAUUCACUGGGCGUAAAGGGUGCGCAGGCGGCCGAGUGUGUGAGGUGUGAAAUCCUGGAGCUUAACUCCAGAACUGCGCCUCAAACUACUCGGCUAGAGCAUUGGAGAGGGAAGUGGAAUUCACGGUGUAGCAGUGAAAUGCGUAGAUAUCGUGAGGAACACCAGAGGCGAAGGCGACUUCCUGGACAAUUGCUGACGCUCAGGCACGAAAGCGUGGGGAGCAAAAGGGAUUAGAUACCCCANUANUC